CCAGACUCCUACGGGAGGCAGCAGUGGGGGAUAUUGCACAAUGGGGGGAACCCUGAUGCAGCGACGCCGCGUGGGUGAAGAAGCGCCUCGGCGCGUAAAGCCCUGUCAGCAGGGAGGAAAAUGACGGUACCUGAAGAAGAAGCCCCGGCUGACUACGUGCCAGCAGCCGCGGUAAUACGUAGGGGGCAAGCGUUAUCCGGAUUCACUGGGUGUAAAGGGAGCGUAGACGGUGACGCAAGUCUGGAGUGAAAGCCCGGGGCCCAACCCCGGGACUGCUCUGGAAACUGCGGCGCUGGAGUACGGGAGGGGAAGGCGGAAUUCCUGGUGUAGCGGUGAAAUGCGUAGAUAUCAGGAGGAACACCGGUGGCGAAGGCGGCUUACUGGACCAUAACUGACGUUGAGGCUCGAAAGCGUGGGGAGCGAACAGGAUUAGAUACCCCGGUAGA
RNAcentral lists this ribosomal RNA (446 nucleotides) under uncultured bacterium. RNAcentral's name for it is "partial 16S ribosomal RNA". It matches the Rfam family "Bacterial small subunit ribosomal RNA", at positions 331 to 794 of the family's 1533-position model. The record is from RNAcentral.